This 102-nucleotide transfer RNA is filed under the name Pseudozyma flocculosa. Its description in RNAcentral is "Anthracocystis flocculosa transfer RNA-Glu(CTC)". It matches the Rfam family "tRNA". Rfam says of the family: Transfer RNA (tRNA) molecules are approximately 80 nucleotides in length. The record is from RNAcentral. Lineage: Eukaryota; Fungi; Basidiomycota; Ustilaginomycetes; Ustilaginales; Ustilaginaceae.
UCCUGGUUAGUACAAUGGUUAGUAUAGGACACUCUCAGCGUCGGUCUCCACACGGAGGACGAGCGCACUGUUCAGAUCGGGGUUCGAUUCCCCGGCCGGGAA